CAGUAUCUGUGUCCAUCUGUCUGACUAAAAGUGCUUUCGUUCCUUCCAUGUGUCAUCCAGCAACACAAUGAUAAUGCUAGUGUUCAUUUUAUUUCAGUCAUUGUAUUAUUAUAUCAGCCAUCAGUCAGGCAUCAGGUUUUUGUAUCAGUCACUGUAAGUUCUUAUAAUGGUGUUGGUUUUUCAGAUGAAUAUAAUGCAUGUGUUAUAGGCUACUUUUGUCAAGAUGAGGAAGUUCUUGCUCUGCAGUGACAUUGUGUUCACAGAGCAGUUAGAUUAUAGUGUAAAGAACACAAGCAGCCAAUCAGCACUUCAGCCAAAACCACACAACUUUUCCGUUUUGGCAGUCGUCAUGUUUCCUGUUCUGAAUCGAAGCCCUUUGCUGUUCACAGAGUAUCAGAGUAUUACUUAGUUUUUCGCAGCAUAUCUAGCGUUGGAAUAUCAGAGUCUUUCAGUUGUCAGAAUUGAAGCCAUUUUGCUGUUUAAUGCGAUUCUGUGCCACUUCUGAAGCUCAGACAGCGCAACAUCAGCAGAGAUCUCAGAGUUGUGAUGGAGGUUUCUUCUCUUCAGCUCAACACAAGCUGGGAUGUAGAAAUGAGAUAACACAGAGAGAAAACUGCUGGAGCAUCAGAAACCAGAUAGGAAGAAACAACAGGACAGAGAGAAAAAUGGAGGCCAGAAAUGAGACACAAACCAGUGAAACACAAGAGAAAAACAGACUGACACUUGUCAGAUGUGACAGUAUGAAGAUAACAAAACCAGAAUUCUCACAUGAUCCAGACGGACCUGUAAACUUUCCUUCAGAUGAAACUUCAGCACGUUCUGAAGAACACACAACAUCCCUGAGACAGCAGCAGCGGCUGAAGACAACACCAUCCUGAUCCCAGACUCCAUCCAUCCACACUACAGUCUGCUCAGAUCCUCAGAGACCUGCAGACACUAUCAGCAGCAGGGGCUCAAGUGGAAACAGAGACACUUCUCUUGUUAUAAAACUAAUAAAAAAUAUUGAGAAAAAAGGCACUUCUCAUAUUUAUUUUAUUUUAUUCUAAAAAAAAAAAGGUUAAAUAUAUUAACACAACUCUAACUUAUUACCAAUUUAUUGUAAUUCCCUCACACUCACCCAGUUGUUUCACAUUGUUUCAUUUUUAAACAGAUGUCUACAAAUAAUCAGUUCACAUAGAGA
Long non-coding RNA from Cyprinus carpio (common carp), 1180 nucleotides. RefSeq lists it as uncharacterized. Lineage: Eukaryota; Metazoa; Chordata; Actinopteri; Cypriniformes; Cyprinidae. The record is from RefSeq and is a predicted model, not a curated record. The transcript has 3 exons.